UACGGAGGAUGCGAGCGUUAUCCGGAUUUAUUGGGCGUAAAGAGCUUGUAGGCGGUUUGUCGCGUCUGCUGUGAAAAUCCGGGGCUCAACCCCGGACUUGCAGUGGGUACGGGCAGACUAGAGUGUGGUAGGGGAGACUGGAAUUCCUGGUGUAGCGGUGAAAUGCGCAGAUAUCAGGAGGAACACCGAUGGCGAAGGCAGGUCUCUGGGCCACUACUGACGCUGAGAAGCGAAAGCAUGGGGAGCGAACAGGAUUAGAUA
This 261-nucleotide ribosomal RNA is filed under the name uncultured prokaryote. RNAcentral's name for it is "partial 16S ribosomal RNA". It matches the Rfam family "Bacterial small subunit ribosomal RNA", at positions 524 to 784 of the family's 1533-position model. The record is from RNAcentral.